GAUGAAGAACGUAGCGAAAUGCGAUAAGUAAUGUGAAUUGCAGAAUUCAGUGAAUCAUCGAAUCUUUGAACGCACAUUGCGCCCAUUAGUAUUCUAGUGGGCAUGCCUGUUCGAGCGUCAUUUCAACCCUUAAGCCUAGCUUAGUGUUGGGAGACUGCCUAAUGCGCAGCUCCUCAAAACCAGUGGCGGAGUCUGUUCGUGCUCUGAGCGUAGUAAUUUUUUAUCUCGCUUCUGCAAGCCGGCCAGACGACAGCCAUAAACCGCACCCUCUCGGGGGGCACUUUUUUAAUGGUUGACCUCGGAUCAGGUAGGAAUACCCGCUGAACUUAAGCAUAUCAAUAAGCGGAGGA
RNAcentral lists this unclassified non-coding RNA (350 nucleotides) under soil metagenome. Its description in RNAcentral is "partial contains 5.8S ribosomal RNA, internal transcribed spacer 2, and large subunit ribosomal RNA". The stretch from base 1 to 120 matches the Rfam family "5.8S ribosomal RNA", at positions 35 to 154 of the family's 154-position model. The record is from RNAcentral.